This 433-nucleotide ribosomal RNA is filed under the name uncultured bacterium. RNAcentral's name for it is "partial 16S ribosomal RNA". It matches the Rfam family "Bacterial small subunit ribosomal RNA", at positions 29 to 507 of the family's 1533-position model. The record is from RNAcentral.
AACGAACGCUGGCGGCAUGCCUAACACAUGCAAGUCGAACGAAACCUUCGGGUCUAGUGGCGCACGGGUGCGUAACGCGUGGGAACCUGCCCUUAGGUUCGGAAUAACUCCCCGAAAGGGGUGCUAAUACCGGAUAAUGUCUUCGGACCAAAGAUUUAUCGCCUUUGGAUGGGCCCGCGUUGGAUUAGCUAGUUGGUAGGGUAAAAGCCUACCAAGGCGACGAUCCAUAGCUGGUCGGAGAGGAUGAUCAGCCACACUGGGACUGAGACACGGCCCAGACUCCUACGGGAGGCAGCAGUGGGGAAUAUUGGACAAUGGGCGAAAGCCUGAUACAGCAAUGCCGCGUGAGUGAUGAAGGCCUUAGGGUUGUAAAGCUCUUUUACCCGGGAUGAUAAUGACAGUACCGGGAGAAUAAGCUCCGGCUAACUCCGUG